UGGGGAAUCUUCCGCAAUGGACGAAAGUCUGACGGAGCAACGCCGCGUGAGUGAUGAAGGCCUUCGGGUUGUAAACUCUGUUGUCAGGGACGAAAGCACCGAUCUAUAAUACAUUUUGGUGUUGACGGUACCUGACGAGGAAGCCACGGCUAACUACGUGCCAGCAGCCGCGGUAAUACGUAGGUGGCAAGCGUUGUCCGGAAUUAUUGGGCGUAAAGCGCGCGCAGGCGGCUUCUUAAGUCCAUCUUAAAAGUGCGGGGCUUAACCCCGUGAUGGGAUGGAAACUGAGAGGCUGGAGUAUCGGAGAGGAAAGUGGAAUUCCUAGUGUAGCGGUGAAAUGCGUAGAGAUUAGGAAGAACACCGGU
This 365-nucleotide ribosomal RNA is filed under the name uncultured Dialister sp. Its description in RNAcentral is "bacterial SSU rRNA". It matches the Rfam family "Bacterial small subunit ribosomal RNA", at positions 355 to 713 of the family's 1533-position model. The record is from RNAcentral. Lineage: Bacteria; Bacillati; Bacillota; Negativicutes; Veillonellales; Veillonellaceae.